RNAcentral lists this ribosomal RNA (250 nucleotides) under uncultured prokaryote. RNAcentral's name for it is "partial 16S ribosomal RNA". It matches the Rfam family "Bacterial small subunit ribosomal RNA", at positions 524 to 773 of the family's 1533-position model. The record is from RNAcentral.
UACGGAGGAUGCGAGCGUUAUCCGGAUUUAUUGGGUUUAAAGGGUGCGUAGGCGGGUGCUUAAGCGUGAGGUGAAAGCUCGGGGCUCAACCCCGGAACUGCCUCGCGAACUGGGUACCUUGAAUGUCCGUGCCGUGGGAGGAAUGUGUGGUGUAGCGGCGAAAUGCAUAGAGAUCACAGAGAACACCGAUUGCGUAGGCAUCUCACGAACGGAUGAUUGACGCUGAGGCACGAAAGCGUGGGGAUCAAAC